UGUCCUACGGGACGCAGCAGUGGGGGAUAUUGCACAAUGGGGGAAACCCUGAUGCAGCGACGCCGCGUGUGGGAAGACGGUCCUCUGGAUUGUAAACCACUGUCCCCAGGGACGAAGAUGACGGUACCUGGGGAGGAAGCUCCGGCUAACUACGUGCCAGCAGCCGCGGUAAUACGUAGGGGGCAAGCGUUAUCCGGAUUUACUGGGUGUAAAGGGAGCGUAGACGGCAUGGCAAGCCAGAUGUGAAAUACCGGGGCUCAACCCCGGGACUGCAUUU
This 277-nucleotide ribosomal RNA is filed under the name uncultured bacterium. RNAcentral describes it as "partial 16S ribosomal RNA". It matches the Rfam family "Bacterial small subunit ribosomal RNA", at positions 335 to 628 of the family's 1533-position model. The record is from RNAcentral.